GUGCUCACUUUAACAGCACAUAUACUAAAAUUGAAACGGUACAGAGACUAGCAUGGCCCCUGUACAAGGAUGACGUGCAAUUGGUAAGUGGGCAUUACUAUUCUG
Small nuclear RNA from Vulpes vulpes (red fox), 105 nucleotides. The record is from Ensembl. Lineage: Eukaryota; Metazoa; Chordata; Mammalia; Carnivora; Canidae.